UUUCUUGGUCUGCUUUUUAUCUUUCCAAUUUUCGUUUCCCUGUUUGGCUUUAAAAGAAUGACCUUUCUUGGUACCAGAACUCUGGCCGUGCUUUAGGACAUUGGCCUUCUCAGAGUAAGAAUUCCCUGACUUACGUUCAGCCCGUUUGUUAUCCUCCUCAAUGCGCAGCUUGAUAAUUAAAUCCUCGAAAGACAUCUCUUUUCUCUUAUGCUGCAAAUAGCUUUUGAAAGCCUUCCACUGAGGAGGUAGCUUGUGAAUAGCAGUAGCCAC
Molecule: long non-coding RNA, 270 nt
Filed under: Olea europaea (common olive)
Lineage: Eukaryota; Viridiplantae; Streptophyta; Magnoliopsida; Lamiales; Oleaceae
Description: long non-coding RNA (OEUR_LNC007976)
Source: RNAcentral